This is a non-coding RNA of Nothobranchius furzeri (turquoise killifish), 676 nucleotides long. NCBI's taxonomy places the organism in Eukaryota, Metazoa, Chordata, Actinopteri, Cyprinodontiformes, Nothobranchiidae. The record is from RefSeq and is a predicted model, not a curated record.
CUUCAGUGCCAGCUCCCCUUCCCUCUCUCUCUCUCUCUCUCUACAACCACCCUUGAUGCUCUUUGCACUCCCUCACCACGGACGCAUUUUCACAAUUAUUCUGUACAUUUAUUCAUUUAUCUUCCGUUCCACUCAUUUCCUGCUUUAGUUUUUAUUUUCACUUUUCUUUUUUUUGCAACUUGGCCCGACGGUGGAGAGACGCUGGUAGGAGAGGGCUGAAAUGACUGGAAUGACUUCAUUCACCAGUGAUGCAGAGAAGAAAGUUCAUCUCUGGUUUUCUGACGCUGAAAUGAAAGCCAGAUCUGAACGGAGGAGUGAUUGGUAAUGAAAGGAUGUUUGGACAGGGGAGAGAGAGGGGUUUCUCUUUGUCCUGGCUCACACUGAGCUCCACCACAAUCAUGGCCACAAUGAUGACUCACACUUGGUUAUUACAAACAUGCUAAUGAUCAUGUUUUAAUUCUGUUACUGCUUUAGACACAUGAGAUGACACAACACUAAACGCCAGAGAGGAAAGAAAACAUGAAAGUUAGCUGGGAGGAAGUGGAAUGCUUUACAUCUUGUAAAAGAACAAAAAAAGGAAUCUGUUUUCAUUUGAUCCAUGGUUGUACUAAAUUUUCUUUUAUUUUGAAAAUAUUAAAAGGCCUGUGGACCAUAUAGGACCAAAUAAAGUUGAAAA